GGACGAACGCUGGCGGCGUGCUUAACACAUGCAAGUCGAGCGGAGAAUAUAGCAAUAUAUUCUUAGCGGCGGACGGGUGAGUAACGCGUGGGUAACCUGCCUUUUACAGGGGGAUAACACUGGGAAACUAGUGCUAAUACCGCAUAAAAUAGUGAAGUGGCAUCACUUUACUAUCAAAGGAGCAAUCCGGUAAAAGAUGGACCCGCGUCCGAUUAGCUAGUUGGAGGGGUAACGGCCCACCAAGGCGACGAUCGGUAGCCGAACUGAGAGGUUGAUCGGCCACAUUGGGACUGAGACACGGCCCAGACUCCUACGGGAGGCAGCAGUGGGGAAUAUUGCGCCAAUGGGGGAAACCCUGACGCAGCAACGCCGCGUGAAGGGUGAAGGUUUUCGGAUUGUAAACUUCUUUGAUUGGGGACGAUAAUGACGGUACCCAAAAAACAAGCCACGGCUAACUACGUGCCAGCCGCUGC
This 473-nucleotide ribosomal RNA is filed under the name uncultured bacterium. Its description in RNAcentral is "bacterial SSU rRNA". It matches the Rfam family "Bacterial small subunit ribosomal RNA", at positions 27 to 518 of the family's 1533-position model. The record is from RNAcentral.